CAGUCACUGUCAGAUGUGAGAUUCAGGGAGGUGAAGGAGCUCAGUGGACGUAUGAAUGGAGACCAGCCAAGUCAAACACACCUCCAACAUCCACUGAAUACAGAAUCACAGUUUCUGAGUCUGACAGUGGAGGAUACAUCUGCCGGGGCAGAAGGAACUAUUCCUUCACAUAUUGGAGUGAAACCAUCAGACUGACUGUAUCAUCUAAACCAAAGGCUGAACUGAGAGCUGAUAACACAGCUGUUCCAGUAGGGGGCAGUGUGACCCUGACCUGCUCUGUGAACCCCUCAUCAUCAUCAUCAUCAUCAUCAUCUAGAUGGAAAUACUACUGGAACAGAGAUGGGAAAUCUUAUAAACGUGUGACAAAUGAACAAAUCAGUGUCUCAGAGGGAGGACUCUACAGCUGCAGAGGAGGAAGAGGAGAACCAGUUUACUACACAGAGGACAUAACAGCCUCAAACAGGCCUGUUGUGACUCUGCAUCCAAACUGGUCUGAGAUAUACAGAGGAGAGACGAUCACUGUCAAAUGUGAGAUGUGAGCUAGAAACAGAGUCUCAGUUCACAAGAGCAUUUGUUUUAUAAGUGCUCACACUCAGUAAAUUUUUUUAGUCACUUAAUAAACCCAUGCUUUCAGUUAUUAUUUGAAAUAUUUGUCUAUGUAUUUAACAGUAAAGGCAAGAAAGAAAACAUAAAAACAUAUACAAUAGUAAGUAAUCACAGUAAGUCAUAUUUCCUUUAAGCUGUUUGAACACUUUGUAAAAUGUGUUUCUGUUCAUAUAGACUGAGAUUAUUAUUCUUUGUAUAAACUGAGCUCACUGUUCAGAGACUGUACUACAUGUUCACUGAGAGAAAAUCUUUGUUGAACAGAUAAACCCCGUCCUGUCCUCACUGUGUCUCCAUCAUGGCUGAGUCCUGGAGCCUCAGUAACUCUGAACUGUGA
Molecule: long non-coding RNA, 940 nt
Organism: Oreochromis niloticus (Nile tilapia)
Lineage: Eukaryota; Metazoa; Chordata; Actinopteri; Cichliformes; Cichlidae
Exons: 3
Source: RefSeq, a predicted model, not a curated record